AGUGAACGCUGGCGGUAGGCCUAACACAUGCAAGUCGAACGGCAGCACAGUAAUAGCUUGCUCUUACGGGUGGCGAGUGGCGGACGGGUGAGGAAUACAUCGGAAUCUACUUUUUCGUGGGGGAUAACGUAGGGAAACUUACGCUAAUACCGCAUACGACCUACGGGUGAAAUCAGGGGAUCUUCGGACCUUGCGCGAUUGAAUUAGCCGAUGUCGGAUUAGCUAGUUGGCGGGGUAAAGGCCCACCAAGGCGACGAUCCGUAGCUGGUCUGAGAGGAUGAUCAGCCACACUGGAACUGAGACACGGUCCAGACUCCUACGGGAGGCAGCAGUGGGGAAUAUUGGACAAUGGGCGCAAGCCUGAUCCAGCCAUACCGCGUGGGUGAAGAAGGCCUUCGGGUUGUAAAGCCCUUUUGUUGGGAAAGAAAAGCAGCAGGUUAAUACCCCGCUGUUCUGACGGUAACCAAAGAAUAAGCACCGGCUAACUUCGUG
RNAcentral lists this ribosomal RNA (492 nucleotides) under uncultured bacterium. RNAcentral's name for it is "partial 16S ribosomal RNA". It matches the Rfam family "Bacterial small subunit ribosomal RNA", at positions 29 to 507 of the family's 1533-position model. The record is from RNAcentral.